RNAcentral lists this ribosomal RNA (500 nucleotides) under uncultured bacterium. Its description in RNAcentral is "bacterial SSU rRNA". It matches the Rfam family "Bacterial small subunit ribosomal RNA", at positions 30 to 525 of the family's 1533-position model. The record is from RNAcentral.
AUUGAACGCUGGCGGCAUGCCUAAUACAUGCAAGUCGAACGGAAGCAGCAAUGCUUUAGUGGCGAACGGGUGAGUAACACGUAGGGAACCUACCUAUACGACGAGGAUAACUACUGGAAACGGUAGCUAAAACUGGAUAGGAUCAAUUGAGGCAUCUUGAUUGAUUUAAAGAUCCUUCGGGAUUACGUAGAGAUGGCCCUGCGGCGCAUUAGCUAGUUGGUGAGGUAACGGCCCACCAAGGCGACGAUGCGUAGCUGAGCUGAGAGGCUAAACAGCCACACUGGGACUGAGACACGGCCCAGACUCCUACGGGAGGCAGCAGUAGGGAAUUUUCGGCAAUGGGGGAAACCCUGACCGAGCAAUGCCGCGUGAACGAUGAAGGUCUUCGGAUUGUAAAGCUCUUUCGGACGGAAAGAAAUCGCCGCCUCUAACAUAGGCGGUGGAUGACGGUACCGUAAGAAGAAGCACCGGCUAACUACGUGCCAGCAGCCGCGGUAAAU